RNAcentral lists this transfer RNA (74 nucleotides) under Bacillus subtilis subsp. subtilis str. BSP1. Its description in RNAcentral is "tRNA-Trp (CCA) (tRNA-Trp-CCA-1-1)". It matches the Rfam family "tRNA". Rfam says of the family: Transfer RNA (tRNA) molecules are approximately 80 nucleotides in length. Their secondary structure includes four short double-helical elements and three loops (D, anti-codon, and T loops). The record is from RNAcentral. Lineage: Bacteria; Bacillati; Bacillota; Bacilli; Caryophanales; Bacillaceae.
AGGGGCAUAGUUUAACGGUAGAACAGAGGUCUCCAAAACCUCCGGUGUGGAUUUGAUUAAUUCUACCACUGUUU